This 329-nucleotide ribosomal RNA is filed under the name uncultured bacterium. RNAcentral's name for it is "partial 16S ribosomal RNA". It matches the Rfam family "Bacterial small subunit ribosomal RNA", at positions 100 to 427 of the family's 1533-position model. The record is from RNAcentral.
AAAAAAAAAAACGCGUGGGGCAUCUGCCUUUGAGCGGUGGACAACAUUUGGAACCGAAUGCUACUACCGCAUAAACACUUUAAACACACGUUUUAAGUUUGAAAGAUUCAAUUGCAUCCCUCAAAGCUGAUCCCGCGUUGUAUUAGCUAGUUGUUUAGGUAAAUGCUCACCAAGGCGAUUAUACAUAGCCGACCUGAGAGGGUGAGCGGAAACAUGGGGACUGAGACACGGCCCAAACUAAUACGGGAGGCAGCAGUAGGGAAGAUGAGGCAAGGGAAGAAAGGCGGACCGAGAAACGCCGCGUGAGGGAAGAAGGGUUUCUGUUUUUU